This 71-nucleotide transfer RNA is filed under the name Actinacidiphila glaucinigra. RNAcentral's name for it is "Streptomyces glauciniger tRNA". It matches the Rfam family "tRNA". From Rfam's summary of the family: Transfer RNA (tRNA) molecules are approximately 80 nucleotides in length. Their secondary structure includes four short double-helical elements and three loops (D, anti-codon, and T loops). RNAcentral also lists the same sequence under 27 other names. The record is from Rfam by way of RNAcentral. Lineage: Bacteria; Bacillati; Actinomycetota; Actinomycetes; Kitasatosporales; Streptomycetaceae.
UCCGCUGUGGUGUAACGGCAGCACUGAGGGUUUUGGUCCCUUAAGUCCGGGUUCGAAUCCUGGCAGCGGAG